This 419-nucleotide ribosomal RNA is filed under the name bacterium. RNAcentral describes it as "partial 16S ribosomal RNA". It matches the Rfam family "Bacterial small subunit ribosomal RNA", at positions 355 to 776 of the family's 1533-position model. The record is from RNAcentral.
UGGGGGAUAUUGCACAAUGGGCGAAAGCCUGAUGCAGCGACGCCGCGUGGGGGAUGAAGGCCUUCGGGUUGUAAACUUCUUUUGCUCUGAACAAGGCAUGCUAAUGGGUGUGUUGAGUGUAGGGGUUGAUUAGCGCCGGCUAACUACGUGCCAGCAGCCGCGGUAAUACGUAGGGCGCGAGCGUUGUCCGGAAUUAUUGGGCGUAAAGGGCUUGUAGGUGGCUGGUUGCGUCUGUCGUGAAAGCUCAUGGCUUAACUGUGGGUUUGCGGUGGGUACGGGCUGGCUUGAGUGCAGUAGGGGAGGCUGGAAUUCCUGGUGUGGCGGUGGAAUGCGCAGAUAUCAGGGGGAAUACCGGUGGCGAAGGCGGGUCUCUGGGCUGUUACUGACACUGAGGAGCGAAAGCAUGGGGAGCGAACAGG